GUGGGGAAUUUUGGACAAUGGGCGAAAGCCUGAUCCAGCAAUGCCGCGUGUGUGAAGAAGGCCUUCGGGUUGUAAAGCACUUUUGGCAGGGAAGAAACAGUGCGUGCUAAUACCAUGCGCGAAUGGCGGUACCUGCAGAAUAAGCACCGGCUAACUACGUGCCAGCAGCCGCGGUAAUACGUAGGGUGCAAGCGUUAAUCGGAAUUACUGGGCGUAAAGCGUGCGCAGGCGGCUUUGUAAGACGGAUGUGAAAGCCCCGGGCUCAACCUGGGAAGUGCAUUCGUGACUGCAAGGCUAGAGUGUGUCAGAGGGAGGUGGAAUUCCGCGUGUAGCAGUGAAAUGCGUAGAGAUGCGGAGGAACACCGAUGGCGAAGGCAGCCUCCUGGGAUAACACUGACGCUCAGGCACGAAAGCGUGGGGAGCAAACAGGAUUAGAAACCCUUGUAGUCC
RNAcentral lists this ribosomal RNA (450 nucleotides) under uncultured bacterium. Its description in RNAcentral is "partial 16S ribosomal RNA". It matches the Rfam family "Bacterial small subunit ribosomal RNA", at positions 354 to 796 of the family's 1533-position model. The record is from RNAcentral.